Molecule: ribosomal RNA, 301 nt
Filed under: uncultured bacterium
Lineage: Bacteria
Description: partial 16S ribosomal RNA
Rfam family: Bacterial small subunit ribosomal RNA
Source: RNAcentral
CAGCCGCCGCGGUAAUACGAAGGGUGCAAGCGUUACUCGGAAUUACUGGGCGUAAAGCGUGCGUAGGCGGUGAGUUAAGUCUGCUGUGAAAUCCCCGGGCUCAACCUGGGAAUGGCAGUGGAUACUGGCUCGCUAGAGUGUGUCAGAGGAUGGUGGAAUUCCCGGUGUAGCGGUGAAAUGCGUAGAGAUCGGGAGGAACAUCAGUGGCGAAGGCGGCCAUCUGGGACAACACUGACGCUGAGGCACGAAAGCGUGGGGAGCAAACAGGAUUAGAUACCCCAGUAGUCCCUGUCUCUUAUAU